UGCCAGCCGCCGCGGUAAGACGGAGGGUGCAAGCGUUACUCGGAAUUACUGGGCGUAAAGGGUCCGUAGGCGGCUUGGAAAGUUGGAUGUGAAAUCCCACAGCUUAACUGUGGAACUGCGUCCAAAACUAUCAAGCUUGAGGAUGGUAGGGGACAGUGGAACUCAAGGUGGAGCGGUGAAAUGCGUUGAUAUCAGGAGGAACACCGGCGGCGAAGGCGACAGUCUGGCCUGCUUCUGACGCUGAGGUGCGAAAGCCAGGGGAGCAAACGGGAUUAGAUA
Molecule: ribosomal RNA, 279 nt
Filed under: uncultured bacterium
Lineage: Bacteria
Description: partial 16S ribosomal RNA
Rfam family: Bacterial small subunit ribosomal RNA
Source: RNAcentral